This 524-nucleotide ribosomal RNA is filed under the name Escherichia coli. RNAcentral's name for it is "partial 23S ribosomal RNA". It matches the Rfam family "Bacterial large subunit ribosomal RNA", at positions 2407 to 2925 of the family's 2925-position model. The record is from RNAcentral. Lineage: Bacteria; Pseudomonadati; Pseudomonadota; Gammaproteobacteria; Enterobacterales; Enterobacteriaceae. RNAcentral also lists the same sequence under 1 other name.
AGGUCAUAGUGAUCCGGUGGUUCUGAAUGGAAGGGCCAUCGCUCAACGGAUAAAAGGUACUCCGGGGAUAACAGGCUGAUACCGCCCAAGAGUUCAUAUCGACGGCGGUGUUUGGCACCUCGAUGUCGGCUCAUCACAUCCUGGGGCUGAAGUAGGUCCCAAGGGUAUGGCUGUUCGCCAUUUAAAGUGGUACGCGAGCUGGGUUUAGAACGUCGUGAGACAGUUCGGUCCCUAUCUGCCGUGGGCGCUGGAGAACUGAGGGGGGCUGCUCCUAGUACGAGAGGACCGGAGUGGACGCAUCACUGGUGUUCGGGUUGUCAUGCCAAUGGCACUGCCCGGUAGCUAAAUGCGGAAGAGAUAAGUGCUGAAAGCAUCUAAGCACGAAACUUGCCCCGAGAUGAGUUCUCCCUGACCCUUUAAGGGUCCUGAAGGAACGUUGAAGACGACGACGUUGAUAGGCCGGGUGUGUAAGCGCAGCGAUGCGUUGAGCUAACCGGUACUAAUGAACCGUGAGGCUUAACCUU